UACAGAGGGUGCGAGCGUUAAUCGGAAUUACUGGGCGUAAAGCGUGCGUAGACGGUAGCGUAAGUCAGAUGUGAAAGCCCCCGGGCUCAACCUGGGAACUGCAUUUGAGACUGCUCUGCUCGGGUGCGGAAGAGGGAAGCGGAAUUUCCGGUGUAGCGGUGAAAUGCGUAGAUAUCAGGAGGAACACCGAUGGCGAAGGCAGGUCUCUGGGCAUUAACUGACGCUGAGGAGCGAAAAGCAUGGGGAGCGAACAGG
Molecule: ribosomal RNA, 255 nt
Filed under: uncultured bacterium
Lineage: Bacteria
Description: partial 16S ribosomal RNA
Rfam family: Bacterial small subunit ribosomal RNA
Source: RNAcentral